RNAcentral lists this ribosomal RNA (506 nucleotides) under uncultured bacterium. RNAcentral describes it as "partial 16S ribosomal RNA". It matches the Rfam family "Bacterial small subunit ribosomal RNA", at positions 29 to 523 of the family's 1533-position model. The record is from RNAcentral.
AUUGAACGCUGGCGGCAGGCCUAACACAUGCAAGUCGGACGGUAGCACAGAGGAGCUUGCUCCUCGGGUGACGAGUGGCGGACGGGUGAGUAAUGUCUGGGGAUCUGCCCGAUAGAGGGGGAUAACCACUGGAAACGGUGGCUAAUACCGCAUAACGUCGCAAGACCAAAGAGGGGGACCUUCGGGCCUCUCACUAUCGGAUGAACCCAGAUGGGAUUAGCUAGUAGGCGGGGUAAUGGCCCACUGAGGCGACGAUCCCUAGCUGGUCUGAGAGGAUGACCAGCCACACUGGAACUGAGACACGGUCCAGACUCCUACGGGAGGCAGCAGUGGGGAAUCUUGCACAAUGGGCGCAAGCCUGAUGCAGCCAUGCCGCGUGUAUGAAGAAGGCCUUCGGGUUGUAAAGUACUUUCAGCGGGGAGGAAGGCGAUAAGGUUAAUAACCUUGUCGAUUGACGUUACCCGCAGAAGAAGCACCGGCUAACUCCGUGCCAGCAGCCGCCGUAA